RNAcentral lists this transfer RNA (78 nucleotides) under Butyricicoccus pullicaecorum. RNAcentral describes it as "tRNA-Val". It matches the Rfam family "tRNA". From Rfam's summary of the family: Transfer RNA (tRNA) molecules are approximately 80 nucleotides in length. Their secondary structure includes four short double-helical elements and three loops (D, anti-codon, and T loops). Further hydrogen bonds mediate the characteristic L-shaped molecular structure. tRNAs have two regions of fundamental functional importance: the anti-codon, which is responsible for specific mRNA codon recognition, and the 3' end, to which the tRNAs corresponding amino acid is attached (by aminoacyl-tRNA synthetases). tRNAs cope with the degeneracy of the genetic code in two manners: having more than one tRNA (with a specific anti-codon) for a particular amino acid; and 'wobble' base-pairing, i.e. permitting non-standard base-pairing at the 3rd anti-codon position. Lineage: Bacteria; Bacillati; Bacillota; Clostridia; Eubacteriales; Butyricicoccaceae. The record is from RNAcentral.
GCGCCAUUCACUCAAAGGCAGAGUAUCAGGUUCACUCACUUGAAAUUAUUGUGGGUUCGAGUCCCACAUGGCGCACCA